GGGGAGGAGCCGGUUUUACCCGGAGGCGCGGGUCCUGCGGUCGGUGCCGCGCCGGUCACCCAGGCCCUGGGACCGCUGCCAGGGAGCGCGGCGGGGCGGCCAGGUGGCCGCGCGGGGUCUCCGAGCCGAUAGAGGCCGAGCGUGGGGAGCCUGCAGGGGUGAUCGGCGUGGCCGCGCACUGGGCCGUAGCGGUCUGAGGGAUCCGGGCUUCUGGGCGCUGAAACAGGUCCCUGGCGGAGGGGCCCAGACCCUGAGCUUGGGCACCCAUGGGCCAGGCAGCUGCCUAGUACUCGCCGCACGCCGGGCAGUGAGGGUCCGCGGCGCUCUGUGGGCCACCUUGUGGAGUCACGGGGCGAUCACUGCCUACCUGGCUGCCGGGAGGAGCCCAGGCCCCAAGCCCGGAGACACACUCACUGUCCCAGAUUCCUUCUGGGACUGGGAGCAGGCCGAGGCCAGAAACUGAAGCGCAGACAGGGAAGUGAGCCUCUUCACCUCCCUUAUGCUGGAGGACAGGGUGAGGGCACAGGAGCAUCUCAGGGCCACAGUGAUCUGGCUUUUCUGCAGGUGAAGCAUGGAGAUUUGCAUGAAGAGCCUAGAGUGGAGAAGAUUUCAGGAAACCCAUCUGCAGGCAAAGCGAGGUAGCGCCAGGUUACAAUUUGAUCUCAGUGCCAUGGUACUGAUGCUCAUAGCACACUUUCCUAGCAUGGAGCAAACAGGGGACAGUCUCUUGUAAAGUCUGGAAGUUCCCAGAUACAUGGGUUUUGGGUGAAGCACUGGCUGGACUAGAUCCAGAGAUGUCCCCCAUCCAGCCCAGAUGUCUGGAAGAUUCUAGCCCGAGUUGGGUGCUAUCCCUGUCAGGAGUGGACAUUCCGUAUUUGGAGAUGAGGGAUUGGUGUCACAACUCUUCAGGGAUUAUCAAUUUAAAAUGUUAC
Molecule: long non-coding RNA, 932 nt
Organism: Heterocephalus glaber (naked mole-rat)
Lineage: Eukaryota; Metazoa; Chordata; Mammalia; Rodentia; Bathyergidae
Source: Ensembl